GUGUAGAGUACUGCGUCACAGCUGACCGCUUUCCGCUGGACUCGCGUGCCUUGUGGAGUCGUGAUGGGGUAAGUCGUGUUAUAACUUGGCACGUGAGAAAUUCAUGUAAUGUCAUUUUUAUAUGGCAAAAGCAGUUUAUUUCAAUAAUAACCCGUGCUUCUCAUUAUAAUAGAUCCACCUGAGUGACGAUCUGGGGAUGCCGCUUCUCGCGAAGCUUCUGUGGCACUUCUCCUUUCGGCAGCUACAGUCACCUCUGCCUGUUACACCUCCGCCUGUGUCUCCUCCCAAGUCACCCCCGACUGUGAGACCCUUUGCUACCACCGUGGUUGUGAAGGGAGAGGUUUCACGUCCACGUCCCCUUGACCCCUUCAAGGAAACUGUCGUCGGACGUCGCGGAAAGGUAAAAGUUAUACAAUUUUGAAGAGCUUUAGUUUUAGUUAGGCCACAUUUAUUGAAUACUAAUUCCCCCUAUGUGUUUAUAGCGCAGCCAACCUGAGUCCUGGGAUGCGCCUGAGGACUGGGAUCAGUCUUCCGUGCGGAUCCUUCCUCAUGAGGUUUGUACAUUGGUAUGAUAGCUGAUAGGAAAUUAAACCGUAAUGAUGCGUACAUUUGUUGUUUCAUUUAAAUGCUAUUCCUAUAAGACAAGGCAAAUGGUCAAUGGCUCAAUUCUGCUUUUUAUUUCUAGGUUUGUGUGCCUCCUCUGGUCCUGAGGGAGUGCUUUGUCGUGCUAAACCCUAUCCGGUUUAGCACUGACAAGUUGGCUGCAAUGGAUCGCAUUGUUCCAUCCAACCUUGACGUCCCCAUGGGGAAUCGCUCAAAGAAACGGAAGGUGGCACAUGGAACCACGGCUGUGGUCUCCAAAGGAAAGAAGGCCCGCCUUGAGGCACUUCAAACUCCAGCAAGGAUUGCCAAACCUUCGAAGCUGGUACCUCCCCCUCGACCUGUUCCAGAAGCUGCUGUACCAGCUACUCUGGAGGGCGUACCUCCUCCUCGACCUGUUCCAGAAGCUGCUGUGCCAGCCACUCUGGAGGGCAGCGUCUUUGUGCAUUCGAGCAAGUUUGCUCAACCGGAGGGGGAUGACAAGACUCUGUGUGUUGAUGAGUGGCCGUUUCUUCAAACAGAGUUUUUUGAGGUAAAGGUUUGGGGGAAAAAGAGAGCAUCUUGUAAUCAUUUAAUAUUUGGGUUUUGUUGUUAAAUUUGUAUGUAGCCCCACAAAAUACAGGCGUGCACAACACUAUGUUUGUUACUGUUUUAAAUAAACUACAUUAGCAGUAAGUUCUUUGAACUGCCCACUUUUCAAUUUUCAUACAAUUGUAUCUCAUGAUAAUUUUGCUCCCUUACCUCAUUGUAGAAGGUGAACCAGCCAACUGCUCGGGUUGUCUCUGGACAGAGAAAACAAGAGGAGCCAACACCUUGGGGACCAAAAGUUGUGAUGGCCCAGGCUGAUAAACCAACAGCCAAUGAGACCAGCUUCUUGGGAUGUUCAACCAAGGUAAUGACAACAAUAUAAAAAAUGAUUUGCAAAUAAGCAAUCAAUCUG
RNAcentral lists this long non-coding RNA (1540 nucleotides) under Gadus morhua (Atlantic cod). RNAcentral describes it as "lncRNA (ENSGMOG00000032737.1)". Lineage: Eukaryota; Metazoa; Chordata; Actinopteri; Gadiformes; Gadidae. The record is from RNAcentral.